This 1338-nucleotide long non-coding RNA is filed under the name Anser brachyrhynchus (Pink-footed goose). RNAcentral describes it as "lncRNA (ENSABRG00000019883.1)". Lineage: Eukaryota; Metazoa; Chordata; Aves; Anseriformes; Anatidae. The record is from RNAcentral.
GCUUGUUCGGUGAUCAGUGCUUGGAGCUGCUGCAGCUGGUGGCUCCUUCCACCUGCUGGGCUUUUGGUUUCAUGAUUAGAUGCUGGUCUAGUUCCUGAUCCAGUCCAGGCUUUUGUGCUGCUUUUACUGUAUUGGAGCUGACUUUUGAAGCAGGUGUCGCGUUCCUCAUGAAGAGAAGCCUUGUGUUGUUGGUGCCCAGGCUGUGUGACGCAGUACAGCAUGGCUCAGGAGUGCUGAAACUGUUUGUUCAGAGUCCAGGGUUUUGAAUUCAAGCUUGAAAUGUGGGAUGGGAUAUGAAAAAAAAAAAAAAAAAGAGAGACCUGAGUGGAGGAAAAGGACUGUGGGAUUAUGACACCCCGUUUCUUCUGCCAAAGAGUUGUUAUAAUAUACCUUAGUGGUCCAUAGUCUCUUGUGGAAAUCUCCCCCAUGCAGCAUCUGGACUGCAGAGGUCGUAAGUCACAAGGUAUUUUCUCUUCAGCUUCCAUAACCAAGAUAGAAAUUAAUGAAAAAGGUACAGCACUAGCACAAUCGAUAGCAGCCAUAUUUCUUCAAAGGACUUAAUUUUCUGUUUUUCAUGUUUCCCAAAUAGCUUUUCUGCUGCACAACAGGGGAAUGUGCCAAACCACUUGAAACUUAAUGGUAAAUGUAUUUUUCAGAUAAUCAGAAUUCCAAACAAAUGCUUUUACCCAUCAGAUCAUUCACUUCCCAUGAUAAAUCUUUACAGCAUAUGUAUAAUCCUUCAAAUUACUUUUUAGUCUCUUAUGUAGGCUGAGAUUUAUUUUUUUUUUUUAUCAGGAUGGGUAAUUUUUUGCACUUUACACAUUUCUGGGAGAUAUUCUUAAAAUUAUAGAGGAGAUUCUUUCCUGCAAAUCUUUUUCAGUUGAUAUAAAGACUAUGUAUUAAAUCUACUCAUGAGGUAGUUUCUUCAUUUAUGUUCAGAAUCAAUUAACAGUGCUGAGUGUUUAUAAACAGUAAUUGUUGAGGUUGCAUAUGAAUCAAACUAAGUGAUUAAUUAAACAUUUUAAACUAAAUUGCAAAUGCUCAUUACUUUUUAGUAUUUUUCUAUAUUUUACCUCUUAUUUAUUGCUUGGGCCAUAUGCUCAGCACUGACAAAGCCUCAGUUUUAAUUCUAUAUUCAGUUUGGGGUGAAGCAUUUAAAGAACGGUACGCAUUUGGAGUGAGUCAACAAGAGAGUAACAAAAAUGGGAUGUUAUCUACAAAAUAGCACACAUGCAGAAGAGACUUUAGCUUACAAAAACAAGAAAAGCUGGGUGGUGGAGUGGGGGAGGAAGGUUUAGGGAAUCAAAAUAAAUAAAACCAAGGAGGAAUGUGGUAGCA